UACGAAGGGGGCUAGCGUUGCUCGGAAUCACUGGGCGUAAAGCGCACGUAGGCGGAUCUUUAAGUCAGAGGUGAAAUCCCGGAGCUCAACUCCGGAACUGCCUUUGAUACUGAGGACCUUGAGUCCGGGAGAGGUGAGUGGAACUGCGAGUGUAGAGGUGAAAUUCGUAGAUAUUCGCAAGAGCACCAGUGGCGAAGGCGGCUCACUGGCCCGGUACUGACGCUGAGGUGCGAAAGCGUGGGGAGCAAACAGG
Molecule: ribosomal RNA, 253 nt
Filed under: uncultured bacterium
Lineage: Bacteria
Description: partial 16S ribosomal RNA
Rfam family: Bacterial small subunit ribosomal RNA
Source: RNAcentral